RNAcentral lists this long non-coding RNA (354 nucleotides) under Citrus maxima (pomelo). RNAcentral's name for it is "long non-coding RNA (CMAX_LNC000022)". The record is from RNAcentral. Lineage: Eukaryota; Viridiplantae; Streptophyta; Magnoliopsida; Sapindales; Rutaceae.
AAUAUAAGACGCAAAGCUUUUGACUUCAUCACACUCUAGUUUCCUUCUCUUAGCUAACUUGGAAGAAGUUGCAGCCGCUAGGGCUUCAGCUCGUGCUCGCGUUCGCGUUCUUACGCCAACUCGAGCGACCUCCAUCACUGGAAUUUCUGUAAGCCCUUGAGCCCUCAACUUUCUCACCGCGUUUCUAUGUUGCAGUUUCUCUUUAUCCUCUCUAUUUUGUCAUGGUUUGUUUUGUUAAUUUGUACGUCUAUAUGGACUAUCGUUGUGGUCCAGGCUCCGUUAACAAGGACGGGUUAUCUGUAACGGGGAAUUUGACGGCGCCGUUCUUUAUACUAUUGGAGGACUGACAAGUGG